UACGAACGCUGGCGGCGGGCUUAACACAUGCAAGUCGAACGGAAAGGCCCUGCUUGUGUGGGGUGCUCGAGUGGCGAACGGGUGAGUAACACGUGAGUAACCUGCCCUUUGCGUUGUGAUAACUUCAAGAAACUGGGGCUAAUACCUGAUAGGAGCUCCUGCUGCAUGGUGGGGGUUGGAAAGUUUCGGCGGUUGUGGGUGGACUGGCGGCUUAUCAGCUGGUGGGUGGGGUAGUGGCUUACCAAGGCUUUGGCGGGUAGCCGGCCUGAGAGGGUGAACGGGCACAUUGGGACUGAGAUACGGACCAGACGCCUACGGGAGACAGUAGUGGGGAAUAUUGAACAGUGGGCGGAAGCCUGAUGAAGAAACGUCGCGUGCGGGAUGAAGGCCAUCGGGUUGUAAACCGCUUUAGCCUGUGACGAAGCGUGAGUGACGGUAAUGGGUAAAGAAGCACCGGCUAACUACGUG
RNAcentral lists this ribosomal RNA (468 nucleotides) under uncultured bacterium. Its description in RNAcentral is "partial 16S ribosomal RNA". It matches the Rfam family "Bacterial small subunit ribosomal RNA", at positions 29 to 507 of the family's 1533-position model. The record is from RNAcentral.